RNAcentral lists this long non-coding RNA (564 nucleotides) under Pan troglodytes (chimpanzee). RNAcentral's name for it is "lincRNA". Lineage: Eukaryota; Metazoa; Chordata; Mammalia; Primates; Hominidae. The record is from RNAcentral.
AAGCCCCGCCCCCCAGUGGGCGGAGAAGGCGUUACAAGCCAAGGGUGCCUGGUGUCAAAUCUUAUAUACUGGGACUCCUAAAACAUCUGAAGUCUACCAUCUCCUUCCUAGCCUCAUCUUCCUGGGCCCUUAAAUACCUCUUCCUAGAUGAAGGCAGCACCUUGAGACUAAAUUCAACCCAACACUACAGGUUGUGUUGUGUUGUGUUGAGAUUGCAGAUAAGGCCUUGAAGCAAUGGUAAAGGAAAAAGAAUCAGAAAAUUGGCUGCCAUCGCUACAGGCUGUGUACUUAGUUAUGUGUCAUCUGUAUCUCUACUGCAACCCUUGCUAGAAUGUGUGCCGGCUAUGAGCAGGGUCAUUGUCUGUCUUGUUCACUGCUAGAUCCUCAGCACCUGGAACUAUACCUGGAACAUGGAAGGAAGUCAAGCAAUAUUUAUUUAAUGUUAAAUAAGUGAAUCUCUGUAGCAUUAAUGGUAAAAAGACUUCCAUAUUUGCCUUCAAUUAGAUUUUAAGAUGACAGUCUAUAAAAAACAGCUUGCAAUAUACAGAAGUUCAUUUAAGAAUA